UACGUAGGGGGCAAGCGUUGUCCGGAUUUAUUGGGCGUAAAGAGCUCGUAGGUGGUUCGGUAAGUCGGAUGUGAAAUCUCCAGGCUCAACCUGGAGGGGUCAUUCGAUACUGCCGUGACUAGAGUUCGGUAGGGGAGUGUGGAAUUCCUGGUGGAGCGGUGAAAUGCGCAGAUAUCAGGAGGAACACCCGUAGCGAAGGCGGCACUCUGGGCCGAUACUGACACUGAGGAGCGAAAAGCGUGGGGAGCGAACAGG
RNAcentral lists this ribosomal RNA (255 nucleotides) under uncultured bacterium. RNAcentral's name for it is "partial 16S ribosomal RNA". It matches the Rfam family "Bacterial small subunit ribosomal RNA", at positions 524 to 776 of the family's 1533-position model. The record is from RNAcentral.